Molecule: long non-coding RNA, 1236 nt
Organism: Cyprinus carpio (common carp)
Lineage: Eukaryota; Metazoa; Chordata; Actinopteri; Cypriniformes; Cyprinidae
Exons: 4
Source: RefSeq, a predicted model, not a curated record
AGAACAAAGAAAGCCAUAUGGGUUUGGAAUGACAUGAUGUGGAGCGCAGGGUUAUGAACACACACGGUGGGAGAGUUUGCACAAGUUCAGUAUCAGGUUCAGAUGAGGAUGAAACUGAUCCAGGAUAUCCCAGCCAAAAGGAUGUGUCUCAUUUUCCAGGGAAUUUCCUCCUCCGUGGAGUGCAAGGAAGAGUGGCGGAGCUAUUUGAUAUGUGUGAUGUAUAGGAUAAAGCAGGCCAGAGGGGGUCAUUCACAAGGCUUACUUUACCAGUGUUUCCAGGAAAUGGACAUGGAUGUAUCCGUCCUGUGAGGCCUCGACAGAGUGACCCAAACAUUAGAACAUGAGAGAUGCCGCCCAGCUCUUAAUGAAUAGGUACUGUGGUUCGCUCUCUUUCUUUUCAAAUACAAAUAGCACACAUACGCACACACAAUGAGGGACUCGGCCCACUCUUGGCACCGUCAGGCCUCAUUGUUGCCAGUCCUGUGGAGGUGGUGCGGUUAGUGGGUGUGGAAGCUAAAUUAGCCUCUACCCCAGGCUGUAGGCCCUCCCGAGGGGGGUCCGCACUGCCCUGUGAGUAAGCUUGUACCGUGCUUGCCCUUGACAUGCCUUCUCCAUGGACGGUGGGACGGAGGAGCGCAGUGCCAGUGAGCUGAAUGGCACAAACCCGUGCCAGAUGGUACCAGCUGCGGCGAAACGCUCUCUGCGGUGGACACCUGUCCACUCCGUGCACCUCCAGGAGCCAUCAGUGCCCGCCCUAAAGAGCCGUCAGCGGGAAAUGAGGCGCUAACCCGGGAGUGAAAAGCCUGCGGGCCCUCGCCGGGUGCAUGCCGAGUCCUCGUCGGGCCACUCUAAUGAGGACGGGAGCCCGAGCCAAGACACGUUUAGCAGCCAUGCUGUUUACUUUAUCAUCAUUACUCAACUUGACCCUGGCCUCCACGUGUCUGCGAUGAUGCCGCGGCCAGGACGUGUCGUUGGGUUGGACAGACAGUCGGCACAUCUGACUCCGGGCCGAGAGACAGAGGGCAUGCUGGGACUGGGCACAGAGUGUUUGUGGAGGCCAUUACUCAAUGAAUGUUGUGUGAGGUUUGUGAACAAUAUCGAAGUUAAACCACAGAUUCUGUCAUUUUUACUAAAUCUGACUUUUUUUUUUUUUUUUUUUUUUAAGAAUAUCCUGGUAAGAAUAUCCAAUAUGAAUAAAGGAGAACUGAGGCUGUCAAGCUCUACAGUUACAAAAAG